CCUACGGGAGGCAGCAGUGGGGAAUAUUGGGCAAUGGGCGCAAGCCUGACCCAGCAACGCCGCGUGUGGGAAGACGGUCCUCUGGAUUGUAAACCACUGUCCCCAGGGACGAAGAUGACGGUACCUGGGGAGGAAGCUCCGGCUAACUACGUGCCAGCAGCCGCGGUAAUACGUAGGGAGCGAGCGUUGUCCGGAAUUACUGGGUGUAAGGGGAGCGUAGGCGGGGAUGCAAGUUGGGUGUCAAAACUACCGGCUCAACUGGUAGUCGCACUCAAAACUGCAGCUCUUGAGUGAAGUAGAGGCAGGCGGAAUUCCUAGUGUAGCGGUGAAAUGCGUAGAUAUUAGGAGGAACACCAGUGGCGAAGGCGGCCUGCUGGGCUUUUACUGACGCUGAGGCUCGAAAGUGUGGGGAGCAAACAGGAUUAGAUACCCGAGUAGUC
This 440-nucleotide ribosomal RNA is filed under the name uncultured bacterium. RNAcentral's name for it is "partial 16S ribosomal RNA". It matches the Rfam family "Bacterial small subunit ribosomal RNA", at positions 338 to 795 of the family's 1533-position model. The record is from RNAcentral.